UAGCAUAAUAAUUUGUCUCUUAAUUAGAGACUGGAAUGAAUGGAAUCACGAGAGUCUAACUGUUUCUCUUUUAAUAAUAAAAACUAACAUUUAAGUGAAGAGGCUUAAAUCAAAAAAAAAGACAAAAAGACCCUAUUGAGCUUGAUCUAAAAGAAAGCUUUCUUUCCAAGGAUUUUGUUGGGGCAACAAGAGGAUACCUAAAUCUCCUCUAUUUUUAUAUCCGGAUCCGCUAAGCGAUCAAUAAAUAAAGCUACCAUAGGGAUAACAGGCUAAUUCUUUUUGAGAGACCACAUUGACAAAAGAGAUUGGCACCUCGAUGUUGGCUUAGGAAAUCUAUUAGAUGCAGAA
RNAcentral lists this ribosomal RNA (348 nucleotides) under Spio blakei. RNAcentral's name for it is "partial 16S ribosomal RNA". It matches the Rfam family "Bacterial large subunit ribosomal RNA", at positions 1957 to 2560 of the family's 2925-position model. Lineage: Eukaryota; Metazoa; Annelida; Polychaeta; Spionida; Spionidae. The record is from RNAcentral.